CAGGCAGAUUACUGAGGGGGGAAAAGACAAAACACAAGUUACUCAACACUAAACAUCAGAGUAAUAUAAACAAGCGGACAGAUCACAAAUGAACUAACACCAACUAGGAAUACAGACAGAAGCUAAGGCAGACACCGAGAUAACAGGACAGAUCAGAACCACCACACAAAACAAGCAGAAGAC
Long non-coding RNA from Micropterus dolomieu (smallmouth bass), 183 nucleotides. RefSeq lists it as uncharacterized. NCBI's taxonomy places the organism in Eukaryota, Metazoa, Chordata, Actinopteri, Centrarchiformes, Centrarchidae. The transcript has 2 exons. The record is from RefSeq and is a predicted model, not a curated record.